This is a long non-coding RNA of Equus asinus (donkey), 2788 nucleotides long. Lineage: Eukaryota; Metazoa; Chordata; Mammalia; Perissodactyla; Equidae. The record is from Ensembl.
GAGCAGGCACGGCUGGCUCCGGCUGCAGGAUGAGCUCAUCUGCUCCUCCCGGAUUUUAACUCGAUGAUUCACCCGCAGAUGGGGACACAGCCGGGCGGGAGGAAGGGGCCUGUGCGCCUUGUGGGGCCAGAGGCCAGAGGGGCUGGCAGGUUGACCCGGGGCCCCGCGGCCUCCUGCCGGAGCGCAAUCCUCAGACCAUCAGACCCGGUGGAGCCUUCCCUUGCUGCACCCAAGAUCCUCUGGUGGCUGACAGCACAAAAAUGGCCGUUGACAGCAACACGCCCCUGGAAGUCCCUGACAUGCUGGCCUGAUCCCCGGUCCUCGCUACACACCCUGCUGAGGAAACCAAGGCAGUUUAUCUGGAGUUAGAUCUGCUGCUUCCUGGCUGUGUGACCUUGGCUGCUGUCUAAGGAAGGGUCAGAGAGGCGCAGCAACUUGUCCGGAGUCCCACAGCUCCAAGAGUGAGGCGGCGUUUGGACCUGACCUUGCCAGGCUGCAGCCCGUCUCGGCCCCCGACCCCUGGCUGCCUGAGAGGGCUUGGGCCCUCGGGGACACCCUCGCAGACCUGGGACAGGCCCUCCUCCCGCCCACCUCCCUCCGAGCCCGCACCCCGGAGUGCGAACAGAGACAGCCAUUCUCAAGAAGAUUCCGGCAGUGCGAAACCAGCUCUCCGCUCGGCCUCGAAGCUCUGCUCGUCCCUGACCCCUGCUCGUCACCAGUGCACGUCCCCCCCGGUUGUUUCCAGGCUGCUGGCGGUACCCGUUGCUCGGCUGGCCAGCUCCCAGGCUCCCUGUUUCUGGUCACCACACCGGUUUCCCCCGGGGACCCCCCUCCCCCGUUACCCCCGGGCCCUGAGGUUUGCCAGGAGGCGCCUCCCCCCUUCCUUCCUCUGCACAUGGGCAGGUGACCCGGCCUGCCUAUCAGCACGGUCCCACCCCCGACUUCAGCGAUUUGUCCAGAGGUGGGCACGUGACCCAAGCAAGGUCAGGGAGGGUCAGCCUGAGGAAUUUGCUGGAAGUACUGAGAAAGAAGAAUGCUUUCUGCUCUUAUGGCUCAGCGGGUGGAACCGGAACCUGGAGCUGCCUGGGGCCUCACGUGGAGAGAGCCUGCUUAAGGAUGAGGCGAACAGAGGCAAGCCACGCGGAGAGACGGGGGCAGGGGGCCAGAGAUGGCAUCAUGACAGUGCUGGGCCCUGGAUCAAGCCUCGCCUGAAGAUACACUCCUGGUUUUUUCAUUGUUAGCUAGACCAAUAAUUUCCAUGUUUUUGCAAUUGAGCCACUGUUGUGAGUUGAGUGGUGUCCCUUCUCCAAAAAAGAUGGGAAGUCCUAACCCCCAGGGUCUCAGGUGACCUUCUGUGGAAACAGGUCUUUACAGAGGUGACAGAGUUAAGAUGAGGUUUCUAGGGUGGGUCCUAAUCACAAUGAGUGGAGUCUCUAGAAAAAAGGGAAAUUCAGACACAGAGACACACGCAGAGGGAAGGUGAUGGAAAGACACAGAGGGACCACACUGUGUGACUGGAGUGAUGUGUCUACAAGCCAGGGAGUGCCUGGCCGGCUGCAGGAAGGGCCGAGCCCUCAGGGAGCGCGGCCGCCACACCCGCAUUUCAGGCCGCUGGCCUCCAGGACGCAGAGAGAAUGAACCUCUGUUGCUGUAAGCCGCCUGGUUCUGGGUGCCGUGUUGGCAGCCGAGGAGACGCAGCCGCUGUGGUCGGGCUGUCAGGUUCAAGGAAGGAUCCCGAACAGCAGGUGUCACAGCAGCGUCCAGGUAGUUUUUUACAAAAAUGGUAGGUUUCGCAUUUGAAAUGACAGAAUGUCACAUUUUACGUGGUACCCACACUACUUAUGCUGACUCCCCCUCCCCCACGCUCUUCCCGCUCCACGUCCCUUGUGCUGGGCGACCCCGGCAGGCUGCAUCCCGCUCCGUGUCAUCAUCCAGGCCCCAUGGUUGGGCCAAACGUGCUCUGUGUCGUCUUGUAAAGGAGGGUUCCCAUGGUGACGUCCCAGUGGGCCAUGGGGACCACUGAUGUAUAAGAGAUGAUUUUAAGUAGAACACCAACUGUAUAUUUUGCUUUAAUAAUUAAUAUUUUAUCUUAAUGUGCAUUCAGACAUUGUAAUUGCCUCUUUAAACCUGGGAUUUACAAGUAUCAUCGUCAGGGGCUCUGUCUGAGGCCCCGCUCUCUGGUGGGAUAACUGGGAGAGGUUCCUGAAGGGACAGUUUGUAAAGGGGGAGGCCGGGGGUAGGUAGCGACACCCAGAAGAAACGGGCAGCCCAGGGCUGGCCAGGCAGGCCGCUGUCACCACCCUCAGGCCCGAAGGGGUGGGAGGGAGCGGCUACGGGAAGCUGGAGGAGCUGGAGCUGUGCGGGGAGCAGCAGACAGGAGGGAGCUCCGGCGGAAGAGCCAGUCCCUGUCCAUCAUGCGGAGGCGGGGACGGGGGUGGGGGAAACACCCCAGCCUCUCUCUCCUCCCGCCCUCCAGUCUCCAGUCCGGGCCUCCCAUUGGCUGAACCCAGCAGGAAGCUGGAGUGCAAGGGAGCCUGGGUAAUGUAGUCCACAGCGUCAGCCUCCUGGUACACAGAGCAGGGAGGGUCCGCAGGGGCCGUCGGAAGAUAACCUAAGAGGAGGCUGUGGAACCGGAGGCGGAAAACUUAAGGAAACUGUUAAGUUUUAAGCGGGUCCUUUCAGGCACCCGUGAGACCGCCCGUGACCAGGACCUGAAAUCCUGACACUUGACUUCCUUUCGCCCACUGCCUGCUGCCCUCUGCUUCUAUGCCCCCUUUGUCCCCAGAUC